Molecule: ribosomal RNA, 1521 nt
Filed under: uncultured bacterium
Lineage: Bacteria
Description: bacterial SSU rRNA
Rfam family: Bacterial small subunit ribosomal RNA
Source: RNAcentral
AGAGUUUGAUCCUGGCUCAGAACGAACGCUGGCGGCGUGGAUUAGGCAUGCAAGUCGAGCGAGAAAGCUCUCUUCGGAGAGUGAGUACAGCGGCGAACUGGUGAGUACAAGGCGGGUGACGUGCCCGGAUGUGGGGGAUAACCUCGAGAAAUCGGGGAUAAUACCGCAUGUCAUCUUUCGGUUAAUUCCGAAAGGGAAAAGGCCCUUCAACUUCGGUUGGAGUGUCGCGUCCGGAUCGGCCCGUCCCUCAUUAGCUAGUUGGUGGGGUAAUGGCCUACCAAGGCAACGAUGAGUAGCUGGCCUGAGAGGGUGGUCAGCCACACUGGGACUGAGAUACGGCCCAGACUCCUACGGGGGGCAGCAGUCUAGAAGCAUCCACAAUGGACGAAAGUCAGAUGGUGCGACGCCGCGUGUGGGAUGACGGCCCUUGGGUUGUAAACCACUGUCAGAGGGGGAUAAGGCCCUAUUGGUAACACUAUAGGGAUUGAAGGUACCCUCAGAGGAAGCACCGGCUAACUCCGUGCCAGCAGCCGCGGUAAUACGGAGGGUGCGAGCGUUGUUCGGAAUUAUUGGGCGUAAAGGGCGCGUAGGCGGACUGGUAAGUCUCUUGGUGAAAUUUCCACCGCUCAACGGGGAAAAGUCCGGAGAUACUGUCAGUCUAGAGAGCGGUAGGGGUAAGUGGAAUUCCUGGUGUAACGGUGGAAUGUUUAGAUAUCAGGAAGAACACCGGUGGCGAAGGCGACUUACUGGACCGCAUCUGACGCUGAGGCGCGAAAGCUAGGGGAGCGAACAGGAUUAGAUACCCUGGUAGUCCUAGCUGUAAACGGUGAGUACUAGGUGUGGGGGGUAUCGACCCCUUCCGUGCCGUAGCAAACGCAUUAAGUACUCCGCCUGGGAAGUACGACCGCAAGGUUGAAACUCAAAGGAAUUGACGGGGGCCCGCACAAGCGGUGGAGCAUGUGGUUUAAUUCGAUGCAACGCGAGGAACCUUACCUGGGCUAAAACAGAGGAGAAAAGCAGCUGAAAGGCUGUGUGCUUCGGCGUUCUUCUGAGGUGCUGCAUGGCUGUCGUCAGCUCGUGUCGUGAGAUGUUGGGUUAAGUCCCGCAACGAGCGCAACCCCUAUCAUUAGUUACCAGCGGAUCAUGCCGGGGACUCUAGUGAGACUGCCUACGCAAGUAGGAGGAAGGUGGGGAUGACGUCAAGUCCUCAUGGCCCUUACGUCCAGGGCUACACACGUGCUACAAUGGCCGGUACAAAGGGUUGCAAGACCGUGAGGUGGAGCUAAUCCCAAAAAACCGGCCCCAGUUCGGAUUGGAGUCUGCAAUUCGACUCCAUGGAGUCGGAAUCGCUAGUAAUCCCGUAUCAGCUACGACGGGGUGAAUACGUUCCCGGGCCUUGUACACACCGCCCGUCACACCACGGAAGUCGGUUUCUCCUGAAGUCGGUGUACCAACCCCCUCGGGGGAGGAAGCUGCCGAUGGAGAGAUUGGUAACUGGGGUGAAGUCGUAACAAGGUAACC